CCUAUUGGAAUUAACUCUUCACUUCUAAUGCAGAAGAAAAACUGACAACAUCGAAGGCAAGAGAUGGGGAAGGGCAAAAACGAACCUCUGAAUGCAUUCUUGGAAACCUGUUUUACCAAAAGCAUUUGAACCUGAAAUGCCAGAUUCAUAUCACAACAAACUGAUUUGUUCUGCUAGAAGCACUGCAAAAAGACUCCUUCAAGAUGCCCUUAUGAGAAAAAAUGAACAAAUGGAUGGGUUCAGAACAAAGGCAUCUCCCACUGCCCCACCAGCGCUCUCCAAACUGCCCCACUCAGCCAGCAGCCACAGUGUGUGAAUGGCCACCAGUGCUCAGCAAUAACCCACAGCCUCAUGGUAAGUAGUGCAUGUGCAUUGGCUCUGCCUCUCGAG
This 390-nucleotide long non-coding RNA is filed under the name Coturnix japonica (Japanese quail). RNAcentral describes it as "lncRNA (ENSCJPG00005021102.1)". Lineage: Eukaryota; Metazoa; Chordata; Aves; Galliformes; Phasianidae. The record is from RNAcentral.